ACGGCAGUAGUCUAGUGGUAGGAUUCGACCCUCCCAAGGUCGAGACCCGGGUUCAAAUCCCGGCUGCCGUA
This 71-nucleotide transfer RNA is filed under the name Candidatus Woesearchaeota archaeon. RNAcentral's name for it is "tRNA-Gly". It matches the Rfam family "tRNA". Rfam says of the family: Transfer RNA (tRNA) molecules are approximately 80 nucleotides in length. Their secondary structure includes four short double-helical elements and three loops (D, anti-codon, and T loops). The record is from RNAcentral. Lineage: Archaea; Nanobdellati; Candidatus Woesearchaeota.